UCGGCUUGCAGUGAGGAAUCUUGCGCAAUGGGGGAAACCCUGACGCAGCAACGCCGCGUGAGUGAGGAAGGCCUUCGGGUCGUAAAGCUCUGUCAGAUGGAAAGAAAUGCAUGAAGGUUAAUACCCUUUAUGUUUGACGGUACCGUCAGAGGAAGCACCGGCUAACUCCGUGCCAGCAGCCGCGGUAAUACGGAGGGUGCGAGCGUUAUUCGGAAUUACUGGGCGUAAAGGGCGUGUAGGCGGCUUUGUAAGUCAGAUGUGAAAGCCCACGGCUUAACCGUGGAACUGCAUUUGAAACUGCUUGGCUAGAGUACGGGAGAGGGUGGCGGAAUUUCCGGUGUAGGAGUGAAAUCCGUAGAUAUCGGGAGGAACACCAGUGGCGAAGGCGGCCACCUGGACCGUAACUGACGCUGAGACGCGAAAGCGUGGGGAGCAAACAGGAUUAGAUACCCGGGUAGUCCAAGCC
Molecule: ribosomal RNA, 466 nt
Filed under: uncultured delta proteobacterium
Lineage: Bacteria; Deltaproteobacteria
Description: bacterial SSU rRNA
Rfam family: Bacterial small subunit ribosomal RNA
Source: RNAcentral